GGUGCACAUGAUGUUUUAAAGCGAUCAAAGUAUGAUUACUGUGAUUCCAACCAUUAUUACUGAUGCACU
Small nucleolar RNA from Bombina bombina (fire-bellied toad), 69 nucleotides. Lineage: Eukaryota; Metazoa; Chordata; Amphibia; Anura; Bombinatoridae. The record is from RefSeq and is a predicted model, not a curated record.